UACGUAGGGUGCAGGCGUUACUCGGAAUUACUGGGCUUAAAGCGUGCGCAGGCGGUUUGCUAAGUCAGGUGUGAAAUCCCCGGGCUUAACCUGGGAACUGCGCUUGUAACUGGCAAGCUAGAGUGUGGCAGAGGGGGGUGGAAUUCCACGUGUAGCAGUGAAAUGCGUAGAGAUGUGGAGGAACACCGAUGGCGAAGGCAGCCCCCUGGGCUAACACUGACGCUCAUGCACGAAAGCGUGGGGAGCAAACAGG
Molecule: ribosomal RNA, 253 nt
Filed under: uncultured bacterium
Lineage: Bacteria
Description: partial 16S ribosomal RNA
Rfam family: Bacterial small subunit ribosomal RNA
Source: RNAcentral